This is a long non-coding RNA of Sphaeramia orbicularis (orbiculate cardinalfish), 91 nucleotides long. RefSeq lists it as uncharacterized. Lineage: Eukaryota; Metazoa; Chordata; Actinopteri; Kurtiformes; Apogonidae. The transcript is spliced from 4 exons. The record is from RefSeq and is a predicted model, not a curated record.
UUGUUACAAAUAUCACAGAAUUUAUUUAUUUUUUCAUAAUUUAGGGUAGAUUUCAUGUCUAUAAUGUACAGCAACUAUAAAAUGAACACAG